Long non-coding RNA from Astatotilapia calliptera (eastern happy), 1157 nucleotides. The record is from Ensembl. Lineage: Eukaryota; Metazoa; Chordata; Actinopteri; Cichliformes; Cichlidae.
UCUGUAAAAUGAUUUUUCUGCUUCAUAAAAGGUGUUUUUUUGUGUACUGACAAGCGUCUCCGAUAUUUUUCCACCAUCAUGUGUGUUAAUAUGGUGGACAGAAUAUUCAGAAAUGUGUUUGCAGUAAAGAGUUUAUGACUAUUUUUUAACAAAAAAAUAAGAAACAACUCUCAGCAGUUACUGAGGGUUAGUGUUCAGAGAGAGAUCUCAGGUAAGGCAUGAGAUCUCUCACAAUGUAAAUGCCACCUCAUAACGUCAUAAUUACCACAGUAAUGAGGUGGCAAUUACAUGCAUGUUUCAUCAUUGUGUUUCACUGAACCAUAAAGAGACUUACUGACAAUAAAAAAAACCAGACAAAAUUAAAAACGAUCACAAAAUGUAAAAAAGUAACAGAAAAAUGUCCUUAAAUAGACACAAUGACAAACACGUAAGCUACCAUGAGAGAAAUAAUAUCCUUAGUUAUUUGACAGAAAAAGGCACAAAGACAAAAGAAAAUGACCACAAAAAGACACAAUGACUAUAAAAUGACCAGAAAGUAGCAAAAACAAUACAAAAAGACGCUUUAAAAAUUCCAGAAACAAAUCAAAAAAAUUGGCCAUAAAGGGCAAAGAAAAAUGCAACGACAAAAACAACACUUCUACCAGGAGUCACAAAAUGAUGGUAACCAAAAACAAAGAGAAAAUUACUCCUUUCACAACAUGAGAUGAAAAAGUUCAGAGAAACCAGAAAGACACGAGGAAAGGACCGUAACAAAACAAUCCUGAGACAAAGUGACAUGAAUACAAAGACGCACAAAAAUGAGACAGACUAUCUUGCAGAGACAACACUACAGUGAGGGGGGAGGGGCUUUUACAUGUGUGAGACCAGGUGAGCUGACUUCACCUAUUCAGUCAGGUCACGUGAUCUUCCUCAGGGCUGGACAAAACAGCAGGUCGUCCACCACAAGGCAAACGUUUUUACCUCAGUAUGAUGGCAUGUGUGACCAACCACACUGUACACACAUGCACGCACACACACACACACACACUUGUCUUUGCCUUCGUCUUGUGGCUCAAUCGCCGUUACAGCCGGUAAAUCCUCCCAGAGCACAAAACAGUGUCACUUCCAGCUCAGUGGAGGAUUAAAGGCCGACAGCCCUGGGAACGACGCUGCGGGCC